UACGUAGGGUGCAAGCGUUGUCCGGAAUUAUUGGGCGUAAAGAGCUCGUAGGCGGUCUGUUGCGUCGGCUGUGAAAACCCGGGGCUCAACCCCGGAUCUGCGGUGGGUACGGGCAGACUAGAGUGAUGUAGGGGAGACUGGAAUUCCUGGUGUAGCGGUGAAAUGCGCAGAUAUCAGGAGGAACACCGAUGGCGAAGGCAGGUCUCUGGGCAUUAACUGACGCUGAGGAGCGAAAGCAUGGGGAGCGAACAGG
This 253-nucleotide ribosomal RNA is filed under the name uncultured bacterium. Its description in RNAcentral is "partial 16S ribosomal RNA". It matches the Rfam family "Bacterial small subunit ribosomal RNA", at positions 524 to 776 of the family's 1533-position model. The record is from RNAcentral.